RNA transcript from Balaenoptera musculus (blue whale), 1990 nucleotides. It is a transcript of the gene named Rieske Fe-S domain containing, with no coding region annotated. The transcript is spliced from 4 exons. NCBI's taxonomy places the organism in Eukaryota, Metazoa, Chordata, Mammalia, Artiodactyla, Balaenopteridae. The record is from RefSeq and is a predicted model, not a curated record.
UGUCUGUGUUGGCAGAGAAGAAGAUAUUAAAAAAUCUGAAAGAAUGACAGCUGUUGUCCAUGAUAGAGAAGUGGUCAUUUUCUACCACAGAGGAGAAUAUCAUGCUAUGGAUAUUCGCUGUUACCUGACUAGAUGUAAUAUUCAAUUCCUUUGCAGACUCAGGAGGACCUUUACAUUUAGGAGAAAUAGAGUCAAGGCAGUUUCAAAGUAAGGAAGAUACAGCUGCUCCCCAGCCAUACGAGAUGUGAAAGUUUCAGCGAGCCAAGAUGCUGGGCAGACGUGCCAGGAUUCCUAUAAAAAGAUGAGUCUCCUGAUUUCAAGGUUCCUCUCCUGCAAUGUAACUUACUACAUGCAUAGGUAACAUCUGGCUGUCACCACAUUGCCCUGUGGGAACUGACACAAGAUACUGCUCUGGCUGCUGCUUUUGCUUGUCUCUUCUGGCAGUGUGUGUGCCUAUGUAUUUCUAUAACUGGCAGGCUAACUUGUUAGCUCAUAAAGUGUAAAAUCUCAGCUCCUUCACAGUUUUAACUUAGCAAAGAGGAGAAAAAAGAAAGACUGUAAAUAACAAUAAUGGACAGUGUCUUUAAACAUAAUUUCAUAAUAAAUACAGAAAUAUUCUUCAAAGGAUACUUCUUAUAUCAACUCUCUAUAAAAACUAUGGGUCUAACAAUGCAAGGAAAGAAACAGCAAGGCAAAACAUUAGAUUCAGAAAGACAUUUCAUUGGGAAUUUAAAAUAAUACAGUUCAGCUAUGUUUCUUUUUGAUGAUCUAAAGAUACAGGAAUAAGCCUUAUAGUGCUCAGAAAUCCAAUGGUUAACAAACAGAAACCAUUUUUUACUUUCUCAAACAUCAUGUAUUAUAAAGGAGCCUUUUAUAAAUGUUGUCUCAGGCAAUUCAUAAUUGAAAUAUCUGAUGAUUUCUGGAAAUGUCAAAAUUUUUUAUUAAGAGAUUCCUAUAUACUGAAUAUUUUGUUUAUUUUAGCCACCCAUCAUCUAUUUUCUCAUCUUCUUAAAACGACACAGAUUUUUGUUUGAGGAUUCAUCCUUUCCCCAUUCUUAAGUCAUGUUGUCUCGAUGGGGCUCCAACCCCUACUCUAGAAAUGAAGCAGGUAAUCAAGUCCUAGGCCAAUCAAUGCACCCCCAUUUCCCUGGUUAAGAGGUAAGCCAUUCUCUAAGAGUGAACCUCAGGACUUGGCCAGGAAUGCUGGGUCAAGGACUCACUCUUUUCUGCUGUAGUUGAACCUGGAAGGAUGUAGCCUGGGAACAAUUGCAAAUCAUCUUGUGACCACGAGGGGAAAGUCAGUCUAUGAAUGGAGUCAACACAGAGAAAGCAGAGCCAAGAGAUCAGUAAAAGAGAGAAACAGGAUCCUGAAGGUAUCAUUUGAGUACCUAUAUCCAGCUAUGCCUGAAACCCUCUCAACUCUGGAUUGAGUACAAGAACUAAUACAUCUCCUUUCUGGCUUAACUCUCCCUUCAACAAAGGGAUGCUUUGAGUAAUGCCCAGAUUGAAAAACCCAGAGUUCUGUGCCAUAAAGUUCAGAAAAAAAGAAACUGGUCCUGAAAAACUUUGACAAAAUAUAAUAGGGCCUCAAUAAAACAACAUAGAACACGUAUUUGAAACAGACCUGGACACUGACAGGUCUAUCGAAAUGAGUUUAUAGCUAAAUAUACUCAAUAUGUUAUGUCAAAGAUUAUCUUGGAAACAUAACAAGGUUAUGGGGAAAAGGACACAAAGCACAUCAUUUUUAAGGCUUGUUGUAGAAUUUCUUUCAGAUUUGACAUAAGUGGUAAUUUGCAUGCUUAUAUUUAGGUUGAACCAUUUGAAAUUGAUAGUUUCAUUUAGUUCAAUCAAAUAACAAGGGAGAAAAAAGUCUGCAUUACUUCCUUUUUCACAUUUAUUUAAACGAGAGAAUAUACUAUACUGAAAAAAGGCCCAUCUAUUUAUUUCUCUUAUCCAACUAUUCUUGUUUUACAUCUAGGACAACCAAAUG